UACGGGGGGGGCAAGCGUUGUUCGGAAUUACUGGGCGUAAAGGGCUCGUGGGCGGCCAACUAAGUCAGACGUGAAAUCCCUCGGCUUAACCGGGGAACUGCGUCUGAUACUGGAUGGCUAGAGGUUGGGAGAGGGAUGCGGAAUUCCAGGUGUAGCGGUGAAAUGCGUAGAUAUCUGGAGGAACACCGGUGGCGAAGGCGGCAUCCUGGACCAAUUCUGACGCUGAUGAGCGAAAGCCAGGGGAGCAAACGGG
This 253-nucleotide ribosomal RNA is filed under the name uncultured bacterium. Its description in RNAcentral is "partial 16S ribosomal RNA". It matches the Rfam family "Bacterial small subunit ribosomal RNA", at positions 524 to 776 of the family's 1533-position model. The record is from RNAcentral.